This is a long non-coding RNA of Hyaena hyaena (striped hyena), 1469 nucleotides long. RefSeq lists it as uncharacterized. The transcript is spliced from 4 exons. The record is from RefSeq and is a predicted model, not a curated record. NCBI's taxonomy places the organism in Eukaryota, Metazoa, Chordata, Mammalia, Carnivora, Hyaenidae.
AUCAGAAUGCCACUUCUGGGCUGUUCCCCAUAUCUUUUUUGCACAUCAAUGUUCUGAAGAAUUUUUACUGAUCAAAGAAUUUGUCAUCAGAAUGCCACUUCUGGGCUGUUCCCCAUACACCUAUGCAUAUCAAUUUUCUGGAAAGUUUUAACUGAUCAUCGGAAUGCCACUUCUGUCCCAAACACUGAAGCAUAAAAUAAAGUUGAAUCUCCGUGUGGAGAGGUCUGGCUGGUGACCAGAAAGAAUCUCAUGCCUCUCUCAUCCCUCUCUCACUGACACCGUCUAUCCUUCAGGGACCCCUGGACUGGCCUUAGCUGGACUUCGACAGGAAAGGAGGGGACAAGUUAAGGGACUUAAGAUCUUGAACUGAAAUUUAUUAAGGACUAGAGAGAGAAACUUCUGUGUAACUCCUAACUGUGCACAAGACCGAGAAUAUACAAAAAGGUUUUGGAGUGAUUAUCACAGAGGACUGCUGAGUCCAAGGAUUGUUAACAACAUCCAGUGAAGUAGUCCAAGCUGUUGUUUUCACAGUAAUCAAUGGAGCCAUUGACUUAUUUGAGAAGGACCUCUAAAGGGCUGAUGGGUAAUUAACAAGAAUUAGAGAUGGAGUCUGCAGGACUGAAUGAAAGUAAUAGGAUCAUGGCAAUGAAUUUGUCUUGUAAAGUUGUGCAUAGAUUCAACAAGAAUAAGUAACACUUGUUCCGAUACUCUUUAGAUAUUAAAAAUCAAUAAUUAAAUAAGCACGUAUUGCCACUAUAUCAUAAAUGGUAAGGAUGAUGAAUGAAGUCCAUGUGAAUUGCCUGGAGACACACUGAAUUUGUGAUCCAGAAGGAAAGUUUUACAUUUGAUUUCCUAUUUCAUCUUAUAAGUACCUGAAGAGAUCAAGCUACCUUCUCUUCCUCUGGAAUGCUGCUUUCCAGAAAAGGACGUAUUUUAUUGAACACCAUGAUGAGGAAUUAGGUUAAAAUCCUACAGCUUCUUCAAGAUGUGAAUCUACUGUCUGAGACAAUAUGGAACUCUAUGAGCCCUGGACUCAGAUGACAGGCAGGAGUGAGGAUGUGAAGAGGGGCUACUGACAAUAAAGACUCACAGCCUUGCAUUCCCUGCGACCAAAACAGGUUCUUCACAUGCACAUUUUCCUCAGGAAAAGAGGAGAACAGGAUUUUCCAACAAAGCCUGCAUCAGAACAGGGAUAUGAACUACUUGGUUCUGCUAACCAGCUAUGCACUUGCCUUUACUCUGCCACCUACCGUUUCAGUGAAUAACUGUGCAGAGAAAAUUCACAGAAGAACCCAAAUUAAUUCCUAGUCCAUCUACAGAGAGACAUGAAGUCAGCCUCCAGUCCUGGAAUUCUUACCAGGCCACAUGACCUGGUGCCCUGGUACCAAAUAACUAAACAGUUAAAGUUCCUAACAAGAAGUUGGAUAAAAUGCUAUGUAUCCAAAAUAAUGAAAUGGCUUACUCUGUUC